UUCUGCUGCUCGCAGGUGACUCCAUUUACAGAGAUAACAAAUCGCAACCAACAAACGGAGACAAGAUGGAGUGGCGGUGACUUGGAUAGCAACGACAUCCAUUGGGCGACUUGGACAACAACAACAAUUUCACUGAAACUAAAGUCUGGGUCUUAUGGAUUGUGUGUCAACAAUUUCUAUAUCUUUCUUUUUAGCCAACUUUGCGGCCUUGUCCUUCCCCCAUUCCGCUUUCUUGCAUUUCCUAAUCAUUUCUCUCUCCUUCACCCUUCAUCUUCACAAGGGUUCGAGAGAUCUUCAAGCAGGUAGGAAAUUUUUGGCUGCUCUAGUUGAAGAUUGGACAACUAGUGGAUACUUGUAUCAAACAACGCUUGAUGGCUUAUUGCUUAUUAAAAGCAAAAGAUAUGGACACACAUGGUGUAAUUAGCUUUAGGGUAGGCAUUACAGAAAUUGCCGAACCAUUUAAUUGUAUUCUGAACUUAUGUUUUGUAUUUCUUUGAACUUAUGUCGAACCAUUUAAUUGUAUUCUGAACUUAUGCCGAACCAUUGAUUCUGAACUUAUGCCAAACCAUUGAUUCUGAACUUAUGUCAAACCAUUGAUUCUGAACUUAUUCCUGCCGAACCAUUUAAUUGUAUUCUUGAAGUUGAUCAUUUGUGA
This is a long non-coding RNA of Cucumis sativus (cucumber), 655 nucleotides long. RefSeq lists it as uncharacterized. NCBI's taxonomy places the organism in Eukaryota, Viridiplantae, Streptophyta, Magnoliopsida, Cucurbitales, Cucurbitaceae. The transcript is spliced from 2 exons. The record is from RefSeq and is a predicted model, not a curated record.